GCAAAACUCCAAAAAAAAUAAGUCUCAGUUCGGAUUNAAGGCUGAAAUUCGCCUUCAUGAAGCCGGAAUUGCUAGUAAUGGCAGGUCAGCAUACUGCCGUGAAUACGUUCCCGGGCCUUGUACACACCGCCCGUCACACCAUGAGAGUUGGGAAUACCCGAAGCCUGUGAGCUAACUUUUAGAGGCAGCAGUCGAAGGUAGAAUCAAUGAUUGGGGUGAAGUCGUAACAAGGUACC
RNAcentral lists this ribosomal RNA (236 nucleotides) under uncultured bacterium. Its description in RNAcentral is "partial 16S ribosomal RNA". It matches the Rfam family "Bacterial small subunit ribosomal RNA", at positions 1267 to 1500 of the family's 1533-position model. The record is from RNAcentral.